Vigna umbellata (rice bean) is the source of this 696-nucleotide non-coding RNA. The record is from RefSeq and is a predicted model, not a curated record. Lineage: Eukaryota; Viridiplantae; Streptophyta; Magnoliopsida; Fabales; Fabaceae.
CUCCAGGAAACGACGAGAGUAGAAUGUAGGGUCCACAGCUGAGAUAGACAAUGAAUCAAACUGAAGAGAUUUAUAAGCAUGUUCAAUCUUCUUGGUCAUGUUAUAGUCCUGCAAUAUAUCAAUGAUACCCAGAUUAAAGGCCAAGGCAAAGUAAUUAAGAAACCACACCUUGCUGUACCAGGUAGAAGUAGAUCCACCUCCUCAUCACCAGCAGAUGAAGCCCGCAACCGACUACCCCUCACAUGUGAGCCCACAACAACACUGUUAUCAUCUGCUCCUCUAGGAACUAGAACAAGACCUUGUGGAUAGGAUGCUUCAUCCUCCAGAGGAUCUAUCAAAUCAUCGUUAGCAUAUCACAGUUUUUAAGUUGAUCACUUCAUUCAUGCUUAUAUAUUGCACUAGAAAAAGCAAGAAUAUAAAUCUAUAAACUAGACAAUCGAUUCACCUUCCUCUGCAAGCAUUGCUAAUCCAUCCACACUUCUACUUUGGUUGUAUGAUAUGAGAGGACGCAGAUGCUGUGGAGCUCGAUAGUGAACACCUAGAAGAAGGCUGUAAUCCAUAAUGUGUUGUGCUUCUAAAAAUUUGCUGUCUAUUUCAAUCUGCCUGCACAAAAGUAUGAGUAGGAGGAAGUAUUCAGUAUUUCCAGUGGAUUAAAAAAACGUCUUACAUUUUGUAUCAGGAUGCAUGGUUAAGAUA